CUGCCGAACUCGUCAUUUUGCGCAGCAGUUGUGUGCUAGUCGCUGCUCGCUCCACUCUCGAACCUUCAUAUGUAUCUCUUCGUCUUGCCCCGUCGCCGUCUUCGCAUGAAGACCCUCUCGCCCGUAGCUGUGCACUGCUACUCCUCUCUAUCGGUGCCCUCUGUGUCUUGGACGCCUUCACUCCUCGCCGCCUGACUCACCCGAUCACUCUCUCUUCUUCCUGUUCUGUCGUCUUCGGGGAAACGGCCAGGUGUGACCCCUUUCCCACCCCCUCUCCAGCACUUGUGUUUGUGGAGGUGCUCGCCCUUGCUUUUUUCUUCCGUUUUGCCUUUCUGUGAGAGUAGUGCUUGCGCCCCUUCCAUCCCUCGGACAACACUCUCCACCGUUCUUUCACCCACCGCAACUGAAGUCAGCCCGCGUGUCAAACGCGCGCCUCUCUUGGCUCGCAAGUUUUUUCCCCCUAUCUUGUGGCGGCACGUGCGUUUGCGUUCCCCUCUGGUCUUUUUCCGGAUUCUCUCACUGCGUCUGGGAUUCAGCCGGCCUAUCCUUUUACUGCUUUGCCACUGGUAGACAUGGAGAAGGGCAUUGAAGAGAUAGUGGACGCGUGUGCGCACCUUCUGGCGGAGAUGAAGAGCGACACGAGGGAACGAACAAUACUGUCCGCUGUUAGCAAGACGCUGAAGCGCCUCGCACAGGAGUCUCGUCAGCACCAGGACCAACUCUCGGCGCAGUCGGCACCGUCCCAGGGGGCAAACGCGUCCUUGCCAAUGCCUUCCGCUGCCGCGCCGUCCUGUAGCGCGUCGGCGCUGCAGUCGUCUGGUGCAAAGCCGUCUCCCACAGGUGGCGACCGGACGGAGGCGGCCGCGGUGGUCAGUACAACAAGCCUAGAGGCCACAGAGGCGACACAAUCCGUUGCAGCGUUGCUGUCUGCCCCUUCCAGCUCCUCGACGUCUGUACCUACGACCACCACUGCCUGCAGUCCGCUACAGCGGUUCUUGUGUAAUGACGAGGAGCUCAGCAAACUGGCGUACGCCUGCCGUAUGGCGAUCAUGGGCGAAAAUGGAGGCCUUGCUCGCAACUCGGUGCGCAUUCUGACAGCAGCGCUUGAGUUGGCCGCAGUCGUUUUGACAAGUGGAGUUCUGCCAUCGGAGUUGGUGGCGCCGGCCCCCACGUUCGCGGUACCCGAGUCGACUGCAAGAGGGGCCAAAGUGUUUUUUUCAAAGCUGCUGGGUGGAAAGAAGCGUCCUUCGUCGCCAAGUUGCGCUGGCGCGCCGGACGCGGUAUCUAGCGAAAUCACAUCCGUGCCUGCAGACACUGUGGGGCUGAGCCAAAACGUGCGUGACUGCCUCGUAGACGCGGUCUUGGCGGCGGUGGACACAGUGCAGUCGAAGGAGUCGAGUGACCGGCUGUACUUUGUGAUGAUUGUCGCCCUCAAGGCUGCUGCUGCACCCCGCCUCAGUCGAAAGGCAAGCACCAACACUCAGCCCUCUGCGUUUCAGCCACUGCAACUGUCUGUGCACGACGGUCGCCUAGUAAGCGUGUUCCGCGCCCUGCUUGAGCUCUGCUCCCGAUCAGCGGGGGUGUCGCCGAUCCUCAUAGACGAGGCGCAGAAGGCGCUGCAUGCGAUAACGCGCGCCUUGUCCAAGUAUGUCGAGCAGGGAGUCUCUGACGGUGACGACAGGAGCGGUGCGGGUGGCUGCUCGAAGGAGCAAACCACCACAUCGCACUCUGCGUCGAGCUCUUCAACCGGCACACCGCUCAUGCCUUUGCCAACUGCGGUGACCUCGAUUUCGGCAGGCAAGCCGACGGGUCCAUCCUUCGUCGACCCGCCUCUCGAGCGCACAGAGACAGAUAACGGGGAAACACCAGACAAAGCACGUGAACUGACGGCAGAGAAACCGCCUUCGACCACAUCCUCCACUAUCGCUGCUGCUGCGGCCCCACUUGGGGUUCCGCCUGUGUGUGACCGAGCGGAAACGACGACCGCUGCCGCGCUUACGGCGGCGUCGCCACCUCGACGGCUCCGUGGGGUGACGGACAUGCUUCUGCUGCUAGAGUUGUGCGGCCACAUCGCUCGCCUGACGCCGCUUUCCUGCAUUUCGUCUAUCUUGUCAGGGAGCGGCGGCGGACUUGAGGUGGGCGUCGCGGCGGCGUCGGCGAGCGAGUAUCAUCGCGACGCUCCGGUCAACUGCGCUGGCGGUGGCGGUGGCGGUGACGGUGCGGCGCCGGCGGCUCCUCGCAGAACCUCCGGCAACGCCACAGAAGAGGGUGCCUCCACUACGAGCUUUUCUGCCGCGUCGCUGAAUGAGCACAUUCUGGUGACGGCUCUGAGUUUUCUCUUGUACAGUAUUGUGAACGGCGGCCCGCAGUUCCGCAAGAGUCCAGAUAUUGUCCAGCUGCUGCGUCAGGUUGUCGUGCCUGCUGCAAUUCGCACGUCGAUCUCGGCGGACCUGGACAUCUUUCGGCUUUCCAUCAAUGUACUCUUAAGCUGCUGCCUGCGCUUUGGUCCGCAGAUGGUAAGUGAGACGAGCACGGUCUUCCGUCACGUGUACUUCCGUGUUCUAGACUCCUCUUUCACCUCCUUGGAGCACAAGCUACUCGUGCUUGAGGCCUUCGGGUCGUACAUCGAGGAGCCGCAGCUCCUGCUUGGGCUCUUCCUGAACUACGACUGCAACACGCACUCGCAGAGUUUUUUCGAGAUGAUGAUCCACUACCUCGGCGCGCUCGCCAUGCCUCCGGCACAGCAGGUGUGCAACAGCGAUCUCUUCGCUGAGCUGAAGAGGGUUCUGACAGUGCGGCUGGAGUACGACGUGCCAGAACCACUUCGCCGCAAGGCACUUGUAAGCCUGUUGCAGGUCUCCGACUCAAAUAUUCAGUGGAUCGAGCGCUUUGAAUGCGAUCAGGAGGAAGACGGUCACGCCGGUACACCCAGCAAUGGGGCUGCGUGUCGAGACGGCGCGACGGCAGAUACAAUACCCCACGAGCUUGCCGGCUGUUCGCCGUUCGUGCACGACCUGAGUGAGGACGGACUGCGGCACGGUAGGACGCACGCAUUGCUGUGUGGCGUCGAGGUCAUGGGCUCAUCGAUGAGUGGCGUCGGCAGCAACGGUGGUCUCGCCGCGGCCGCGAACGUCGACGCUUUCCUGCAGGCCCGACGGUACAAGGAUGCGUUCAAGAAAUUCCUCGAUUUGUUCAAUCAGAAGGCAGCCCCAGAUGCGGCCAUCGAAUACUUGGAAAACUCUGUGCUGAUCCUCGAGAGCGCCGGCCAGGCGGUCAGUGCAACACCGGAGCCACCGACGACUGUGGGGGCGCAAGGUUCACUGAACGACAGAGCAGGGGCUGCCGCUAUCCCCACCACAGCCACGGGCACCACCAACGCAAGCACCUCGGAUGGGCUUCGCAAUGACGAUGCAGAGGCGCCAUCAGAUUCUAAUGCGGUUUCAAGAAGGACGGAGCAGGUGCCGGGAGACGGUGACGUUGAUGCUGCCGCCGCAUCCCCCGCCCCUGUGGAAGCGGCAGCGACGCCUACGGCAGCCAUCACGAGUGACGUGGAUGACGCCAUGCUUCUCUCUGCUAGGAAGGUGGCAGCGUUUCUGCGUGUCAAGGAGGACUACCUUGACAAGAUGGUGCUGGGCGACUACUUUGCCAAGUGCUUUCGACGUCCGUCGUCGCGUGUCGUGUUCGAGGAGUGGAUUGGGCUACACGACUUUACCGGCAAGACGCUGGACGAGGCACUGCGUCUCUUCCUCGGCGGCUUCAAGCUCUUGGGCGAGGCGCAGGUCGUGGACAAAACAAUGGAGCUGUUCGCGGCGCAGUACUGCCGUCAAAACCCCGGCAUCUUCGGCUCUGCAGACACCGCCUUCAUUCUAUCUUUCUCCAUCUGCAUGCUCAACACCGACGCCCACAGUCCGCACAUCAAAAACAAGAUGACGAAGGAGGGCUUUCUGCAGAAUAACAGAGGCAUCGACGAGGGCAACGACAUCGACCCGUCCAUACUCGGUGGCAUCUACGACCGCAUCAGCGGGGAGGAGAUCGUGCUGCGGCCGUCGCCGAAGUGCGGCACGCAGCCGUCGGUGCACGCGUCGGCCGCGGCCGCGGCGGGCGGAUUUGCCGGAGGCAGACGUAGCAGUAAGUUGACAACGAACCUGCUGGACUCUAUUCCCUUGCUGCGCCACCUCUCUCCUAUCGCGGCAGCCAUCACGGACAAAGUCUUGCUACCAAUGGAUGCCGCCGGCAACGCGCUGUUCAACUCAGCCCGGCGCAAGCGAGAGGAGAUGUACCAGCAGGAGUUGCGUGCGACGUUGAAAGAGGUGAUGAAUGCGCUACAAGAGGCUUCCACCAACGACGCGGCGCAUCAUGCGAUGUUCUUAACGGCGACGAGCAUUGAGAACGCCCUUCCCAUGUGGGAGGUGUCGGUAGAUGUGGUGUGUCACAUUGUCGUGCUGGCUCUGCAACAGCUGCUGGAGGAUUCGGAGAAAUACGUGCGACCGCAGUCCUUCUCGUCGCCGUCACCGCCCGGGAACGAGCUGGAGGCGGGGGCGGAGUACGAGGCGGUGACCGCCUACUUGGAGGACACGCAAAGCGCUGGCUAUUUCAGCACCAUUCUCCUCGGUUUGCAGAACACCGUGCGCGUCUGCUGCGCGUUCGGCAACGUUUCCCACACGGAGAAGCUGCUGGAGCACAUGUUCGAGAUGACUCGUCUGACCUCCGUUGUCGUCCUGAAGGCAGUGCCUAGCUCCCGUGUGAUGAUAAAGUCGACGAUCCCCUUUACGCGUUUGCAGGUGCUCUCGACAUUUUUCAACCUGUUCAUGCAAUGCGGUUCUUCCUUCAACGCGCGUGGGUGGCAGGCAGCGUACAAGGCGAUGUCGCUCGUAGAUGCCUUGGCGAACGGCAUAGAGGGUAUGUGGCAGCGCCAGGCGCGCCGUCUGCUGGACACGACACCGGUGUCAAAAGAAACUAGUCUGGUACUUCCAAAGCCGCCGGAUUCCGCGGCAAAGUCGGCAGCUUCUUUGGCUUCCACUGGGCUCGAUGCGAGCAACAAUAACACAAGAAGCGUCUCCUCCGCAGCGAUGGCGCCGGAGCAGCAGCAGCAGCAGCGCGCGGAUCUGUGGUUCGGUGCUCUCAACGAUGUACCUGCCAGCAUCGUCGACCGCGCCUCUCGCGACAACCGAAAAGCUAUACUUUGGGGACUUCGCUCUGUCCCAACAUGUCACGUGGAUCUGUGGCUUGAUCGCCUCUUCGACGCCACGCAGUACCCACCGCGAGUGCAGCUGGAGAUGACCAGCGGCUUGGUGAAGGUGUGCGAGAUGGAGCUACAGUACACCCGCACCUUCUCGCUGACCAAACUGUUCGACUUUGUCAGCAUUUGUGCCUCUUUCUUGAGCCGGCUGCAGUGGCGCGACUUGUGGGCGCAUGCGAGUGAGGUGUUCACGCUAGCCGGUUGCCGCAGCAGCAGCGAGAUUGCCUUGUCCUCCUUGGAUGGCCUGCGGCUCGUCGCGCUGACUUACCUCAUGCGCGAGGAGCUGCUCAACUAUUCUUUCCAGAAGGAGGUGCUGAAGCCGUUCGAGUUGAUUCUCAUGUCAAAUCAAAACGUCGCCUGCCGGCAGAAGGUGAUGAUGAUUCUCUCCGAGGUGAUCGACUUUCGCGCCGAACACUUGGCGAGUGGCUGGAACGUCGUCUUCUCGUGCCUCAGCCACGCCGCGGCCAUUCCAGAGGUGGCGCCGUCCGCCUGGUCCAUCUGCGAGGGUGUGAUACUGCGGCACAUCAGCUACGUGAAGGACUGCUUUAGCGACUUGAUCUUCUGCUUGACAACAUUUGCCUGCUCCGGCGUGGAGGAGAGCAUGCCGCUGCGCGCCAUUUCGUACCUUGUCGCGUGUGGCCACUGGCUGCAAUACGGGCUGGAGGCCCCUCCACUGGAAGUACGGACGGCAGACGCCGUUACGCGGUGGGCCACGCGCUAUCUCACAGUGGAGCAGGAGCUGGCAGCGUCUCACGUGCUGGGCAAGCCCCUGUCGCGGGUGACGCUCGCCGCGGAGCCCCUGACGCUGGACGCGCUUCUCCAGAAGCCCAUGACCUUUACCAGCAAGACGAAGUACCACCUAUGGAUGUCGCUGUUCGAGGGAAUGGUGCCGAUCGUCGUCGUGCACAGCUCCGUCCGGGUGCGAGCACAUGCCCUUUCGUCGAUAUGGGCGUUGCUGGCGCAGUACGCGGGCCUGUUCGAUGCGGAGGUGCGGAGCUCGCUGUUCAAUGGCAUGGUGCGACCGAUGCUGACGACACUGCUGACGCACGUGCCUGGGGACGCGGAUCUGGUGUCGCCAACGAUGUCUGGCGGCUACGAGUCUGACCGCUUUGACUAUCGACUCCUUGUCUACUUAGCGCUUAAGGGCAUGCUACUCGCAUGUAAGGAUCACGCUCACUUGCUGGAGCUGGCGUGCAAAGUUUUGAAUGAGCUCGUGGAGUCGACCAACAUCACCAUGCGCAUGCUCCGCAACGACUACGUCGAUGAGGUACUGCGGGUGUGCUACGACUUUGUCUGGGCUGCGCCGUCCUUGGCGACGAUGGAUGCGUUGGACAGGCUGCCCAGCGUCCCCGGCGCGCCGUCUUCCAAGGACGCCGUGAACUACGCAGAAAGGCUGUAUCAAUGGAUCCCAACGGAGGCCCGGCACGACAAUCCGUUUGUGGUAGGCCUGGUGCAUGAGAUUCAGCAGGUCGGCGUCGUGGACGUGGUGCACUUUAAGCGUACCGCUGGCUGGGUGGAGCUGCAUCAGACGCCGGCGGCGCGCAACACCCCGGUGCAAGUGUCCCUAUCCAGACUGUCCGCCACAUCGGUGCAGUUGGCGAGUGCGAUAAUGCUGCAGAUCCGCUCCACCAUCUUCCGCUGCCUCACGCACGGCCUCCUGGGUAAGCUUCAGCUCCUCCUCAGCACGUGCGAGGCGGACCGGAACGUUUGCCUCGAAGUGUCGGGCGCCAUGCGCCACGUGUUGCUUGGUUUGAGCUUCUAUUUUCUCGUCACCCGAGACGCCCGCGCAGUGCGGUUUCUCAAGUCGGUCAUGGCUACAUCGCACGAGCACGGAAUGGUGGGCUCGCAUGACGUCGCUUCUCACACGGAGCCCGCGUCGCUUACAACCGCUGCUGGCACGGACGCCUCGGCGGGCGACGGCGCUCUGAAGAGCAGGUGCUCCUCCACAGCUGCUGUUGCAGCGUCACCGGCCUUCAUCGCGACCUCCAAAAACGCUGUGCUGGAGACGCUGUUGCUGAUUCCGUACGCGUGCGUGUUGAUCGAGUUCAUUGCCGCCUUUGAUCUUGGCGAGGCCGACGACAACGUGGUGCGUAAUGAUUUGUGGGCCUACGUAAGUCAGUAUUUGGAAGAGCUGAAGCGAACCCGGCUGGCGUGCAUAGAGCUGCAGCAGACGGUGCAAGCGGGCGUGCGCGCUGAACUGGAGGCCGCAGCAACCACCACCAACCCUUCGACACCCGCAACGCAAGUAUUCAAAGAGUACAAAGGGUGCCAUUUCACCGACAUCUUCCGCUCCGCCCGUUACCCGAUUGGGGCUCGCACCCUCUACUUGACUGCCCAAAGCGAUCCAUCGAUCCGCCAGCGCGUCUUCACCGAGUGGUGCUACCUUCUUCGCAUCUACGCCCUCAAGUGCACAGCGAUCCUUGGCGCCAGCUCUGUCGUGCUACAGGCGUGCCCCACUCGUGAUUUGAUCGACGUGUUGCGAGUAAUUCCCAGCGCGUUCGAGGAGGCGGCAGUUAGCGCCUACUUCAAUAGCUGCUGGGAGGAGAUGGACUUGCACUGCAGCAUGCCGCCUGAGCCGUGUGUGGAGUUGUGUGCACGUAUCCUCGAGUCACGCAUGUGAAGUGCUUGCCGGUAUGGGUUUCUCUCUCCCUCCUCCUAGCAACAGCGCCGCGUUCCAGCGAAUGCGGACGAUCACGCAUGCGUCCUCUUUUGGUUUUCUCGUCGCUCCUUCGCCUUCCGUGACCUAUGGGCCGUGGUUUUCCUCCAGACACAGGAGAACACUACUGCACACAUGCCUGCGCGGGCACGCAUUCCCAUCAGUCUCCUUUACUUGUUGAUGACCCUCUUUCCUUUUUCUGUCACGCGAGUUGGGCUUUGGUGGUGGUGUGAGGCUCAUCUCUUCAUGUGUGUGUGUGUGUGUGCGUAUGCGUAUGCGCGUGUGUGUCGUUACUGUGGCUCCUCUUUGCUUCCGUCCUGUGCUGCUCUUUCUCUCGUCGCCUCUCCUCUAUCAUUCCUCGCUUCGCCCUCCCCCCUCCCCCAAACUCACACACUCACGUGGCUUCAUUACGGCGCUGCCGGUUCGCGUCACUGCCUUGCGCGUGCGAUGCCUUUUUUUUGCUUCACGCCUGUUACCUUUUUUGUUCCUUGGUGGCCAGAGGUGAGGUGUCAGAGUUUUCCUUUCGGCAACAUGGUAUGGUCGCGCGGCUGGAGGCCGAGUGGGUCGGGAGGACCUGGCAGAGCUUGCAUCAUGCCUCUCAGUCUAUGUUUGUGUCUGCGUGUACGUGUUCAUGUGCCUCGCGUAGUGUCGAACACGUGAAGAAUUUGUGGGCUGUUGCCUCUACGCAGCACAUCCACCUUUCUAUUGGAGUCCUCCACACGAUCGUAUUCGAGGAAAGAAGCUCCAAGGAAAAAGCGAAGCAAAAGAAAAUACAUGCAAAAGGGCGUAUGUGUGAUUGUGGUACCGGCGUAGCGGACUGCGCAUGUGAGUGCGUGUGUGUAGAUGUCUGCCCCUCCCCCUCGCGGUGAACGCGAGGGAAGUCAAGCUGGAUGGGCACUGCAAUGGAACUGUAGUGGCUGUGUGGGGGACUCGAAAAGUCGGCAGAAGCGUGACUAAAUGCAUCCCGUCUAUCGAAGUGCUCGGUGAAACGAUCGAGCCAAAACCGCGUGUGCGCUCAUCAUCCCUCCCUUUCUCCCGCAGGGAGAAGUACCUUUGGGUCGUUGUGCCGUCUCCAUGCGGGAAAGAUGUCGUCUGUCGCUUCAUUGUCCACCACCACAAUGUCCCUUGCCUCUGUUUCCCACACGAGUGCCGCGUUCUGCUUUUCUGCUUCUGUACUCUUGCUCCCGCUCUCUGCCGAGUUGUGACACGUUUAAG
RNAcentral lists this unclassified non-coding RNA (9110 nucleotides) under Leishmania donovani. RNAcentral describes it as "gene:LdHU3.34.3870(CDS-product:Guanine_nucleotide _exchange_factor_in_Golgi_transport_N-inal/Sec7_domain/Doma in_of_unknown_function_(DUF1981)_putative)". The record is from RNAcentral. Lineage: Eukaryota; Euglenozoa; Kinetoplastea; Trypanosomatida; Trypanosomatidae.